GCAGCUCAGUGGUAGAGCACCUGGUGCCAGGUUCAAUCCCUGGCAUCUCCA
Molecule: transfer RNA, 51 nt
Filed under: Podarcis lilfordi (Lilford's wall lizard)
Lineage: Eukaryota; Metazoa; Chordata; Lepidosauria; Squamata; Lacertidae
Description: tRNA.Leu
Source: RNAcentral